RNAcentral lists this ribosomal RNA (440 nucleotides) under uncultured bacterium. RNAcentral's name for it is "partial 16S ribosomal RNA". It matches the Rfam family "Bacterial small subunit ribosomal RNA", at positions 338 to 795 of the family's 1533-position model. The record is from RNAcentral.
CCUACGGGUGGCAGCAGUGGGGAAUAUUGCACAAUGGGGGAAACCCUGAUGCAGCGACGCCGCGUGAAGGAAGAAGUAUUUCGGUAUGUAAACUUCUAUCAGCAGGGAAGAACAUGACGGUACCUGACUAAGAAGCCCCGGCUAACUACUUGCCAGCAGCCGCGGGAAUACGUAGGGGGCAAGCGUUAUCCGGAUUUAAGGGGGUGAAAGGGAGCGUAGGCGGUGCAGCAAGUCAGAAGUGAAAGCCCGGGGCUCAAAUCCGGGACUGCUUUUGAAACUGUUGAACUAGAUUGCAGGAGAGGUAAGUGGAAUUCCUAGUGAAGCGGUGAAAGGCGUAGAUAUUAGGAGGAACACCAGAGGCGAAGGCGGCUUACUGGACUGUAAAUGACGCUGAGGCUCGAAAGCGUGGGGAGCAAACAGGAUUAGAUACCCGGGUAGUC